GCCUUCGUGAUGAAAUGGUAUACAUAUUGACUUCAAAAGUCAACGCUUUAAGCAUGUCGGUUCAAGUCCGACCGAGGGCA
RNAcentral lists this transfer RNA (80 nucleotides) under Jenufa perforata. RNAcentral's name for it is "tRNA-Leu". It matches the Rfam family "tRNA". From Rfam's summary of the family: Transfer RNA (tRNA) molecules are approximately 80 nucleotides in length. The record is from RNAcentral. Lineage: Eukaryota; Viridiplantae; Chlorophyta; Chlorophyceae.